Long non-coding RNA from Hyaena hyaena (striped hyena), 238 nucleotides. RefSeq lists it as uncharacterized. The record is from RefSeq and is a predicted model, not a curated record. NCBI's taxonomy places the organism in Eukaryota, Metazoa, Chordata, Mammalia, Carnivora, Hyaenidae. The transcript has 3 exons.
UUAGAGUCCACUGUAAAAAUGACAUGAUGCAUUUACUAAUUUGCAGCCAGGACAAUUAACAUGAACCCACAGUCUGCAGCCCUAAAAGAUAUGAUUACAUCUUAAAGAAAACAUAACACAGAUUCAUCUGAAGAAGACAGAAGUAUGAUUAGAUAUCAUCAUUUUGCAUGUGGACAUCUUCAGUAGAGUGAAAAUAAAGUAUUGGCUUCAGAUUUCAUAAAGCAGAAGGAUUACAGGU